Molecule: long non-coding RNA, 1920 nt
Organism: Canis lupus familiaris (dog)
Lineage: Eukaryota; Metazoa; Chordata; Mammalia; Carnivora; Canidae
Exons: 3
Source: RefSeq, a predicted model, not a curated record
GUGGGGUGGGAGAAGCCAGGGCACCUCCCGCCACCCCUCUGGAGCCGCACCCUGGGAGCCUGAGCACCCUCGGGGGCAUUGGAGACACCUCCGCACUAGGAGGUGGGCAAUGUGGGGCUCCUGCGCGGGCUCAGCCAGAUGUUCGCGGCGGCUCCAGAUGUGCCUCCGGUCCCGGGACAGGACUCUCCUCCUCCCCACCCCCCAGCCCGGAGCUCAGUUCCGUUUGGGAGGAAGCUGUGCUGUUCCGGAAGAGACGCCAGGCCUUCCCAGUCUCCGGUUUAAGGCUGUCUUCCAGGAUCUGCUGUCAAGGCUUAUUCCUCAGGGAAUAGCUGUUGGCAAAAGGAGCCUUUCCGGGCCCAGAGCUGGUCUCCGCACCGAGGUGGCCCCAGGGACGUGGAGGAGAGCAGGCAAGCUGCGUGUGGACGGCCGGCUCCCAGCACGCUCUGCGCCGGGGCAAAGGCCGUGGGCUCCGCCACAGACACCCUGCCAGGCUGGGACGGCCACCAUCCACCGGACAGAUGGCCAGGAGGAGGUGCCAGGUCACACAGCCCCCGAACGGCCGAACUGGGGCUCCAGCCCACCUCUGCCGGAGCCCACACUUUCCCUACAGUGGGCCGGGACGUUCCCAGAACACCAAGAUGGUGUAUAUUGUGGAUUUAAAGCCUCAUGAACGGCGAGGGCCUGUGGGCUGCCCCGGGGUUUCAGGAACCGAGGCCACCUUGGCCACUAACUCACUCCUCCAUCUUGACGACGCAGCAGAUUUUACAUUUACAAAACGUGGAUCGUCCUCUCGACUGCAGGUGAGGGAAUAGCGUGCGCCCUCGUGGCGUCCUCAGCUGUGCCGGGAACACACCCUGGGAGCCCGACGGCUGCUGGAGAUGGUCUCUGGGCCACCCGUUAGCCUGAGAUUCCAGGGCUCUGCCGCUUGCUAGCUGCGGGACCCGGCAAGUAACUCCACCUCUCUGGCCUCCAUCCCCUCACCCGCGAAAUGGGGAUAAGAUCGCUUCCGCUCUCAUGGAGUGCUGAACUUAAGUGAGUUAAUAUUUGUAAAGGGCUCCGAAGGACGGCUGGCAUAGGGUGCACACCGCGUGUGUGCCAGCGCACGGUGGGCUGUCCCGGGAGACUGGCGUUAGAAUUGUCCCUGAAGUGCAGGUGUGGAAACGGAGGCAGCAGUACAGUGACUCUCAAACUUAGCGUGAAUCGGAAUCACCCGGAGGGUUCGUGCAAAUGCUAAACACUGGGCUGGGGCCUGAGAGUGUGCAGUUCUCGCGUGUUUCCAGGAGGGGCUGGUGCUGCGGGUCCAGCGGCCGCGCCGUGAAAGCCUGCGCUGGGGCUCUAGUGCGCUGGGCCCGCCGCGCAGCAGCUCCACGAGUGAUCUGGCGUGAGUGAGCGAGCGGUUACAGAGAACAGGCCGGGCGGAGGGCCAGGAGCCUUGGGGUUCUAGUCCUGAAUUUGCUCCUAACUCCCUGGGGGACUUAACCGAGUCCUCUUUCCCCUGCAGCCUUGGUUUUCUCCUGGGGACCUCAGGGGUGACGGUAAUCCCGGCUCACAGGGCUCUGUGAGGAAGAAACAGGGCCUGGUGUCACUGUGACACUCGCUGCAGGAAUGGUGAGAGGGGUCUAGGAGGAGGUGUGGGACCCCAGGGGCUCACUACCAUCCUUCCCUGCCUGCCUUCUCCUCUCCCCACACCGAGGGCUGUAGCUCAUCCCCUUUACUUCUUUCUGGAAGCUGAGUUGGGAAGACGGAGGCCACACUGUCCCCCACUGUCCCCCACGCCCCAGGGCGGCUCGGCAGAGGGCAGCGUGCUUGCUGUGGCCGCAGGCUGCAUAAAGGGGCCUGUGUUCCGGCCGCUCACCUCCCACUGUGCGCCCAGUGGUUUUCUAUUUCAGUUGCUGUAAAAAUAUCACCUUUGAUCUCAGC